GGGCACCAGGUUUUAAAUCCUUGCAGCCUUAUUCACUCGAGUUAUAAAGGCUCGAUAAGAUGAAUUUUUGUCAACUUCUCCUUUUUCUUGCUUUCUAUAUGACCCCUGUAACGAGCUUUAGGCCGAUAAUUCCCAAACCAGUUGGUUUUAGGAUAUCAGGUUUUAAGCCCUAACAGACUUACUUGCUCGAGUCAUAAAGGCUUUAGAGAGAAGUGAUAAUUUUCCAAUUUUUAUUUUAUGCCCUUUACUUGUUUUUUUUU
This 260-nucleotide long non-coding RNA is filed under the name Olea europaea (common olive). RNAcentral's name for it is "long non-coding RNA (OEUR_LNC007142)". Lineage: Eukaryota; Viridiplantae; Streptophyta; Magnoliopsida; Lamiales; Oleaceae. The record is from RNAcentral.